CACAUCACGUUGAGACACUGGUUCCUGUACGAUAAAAGUUAAACAACACAGAGCCUGGUUAGUACCUAGAUGGGUGACUGCUUGGGAAUACCAGGUGCUGUAAG
Molecule: non-coding RNA, 104 nt
Organism: Acanthosepion pharaonis
Lineage: Eukaryota; Metazoa; Mollusca; Cephalopoda; Sepiida; Sepiidae
Source: the annotation of a GenBank genome assembly